CCCUUUUCGUGCCGUGCCCUGGGAGCGGGUGAGGCCACCAUGGAGGCGGCACCGACAACGAGGGACCUCGCCAGGGCUGCGGAGACGCGUCCGCGCAGGAAGAUGUCUUGAAGUAAAAGAGCCUGGGAUGUGACGCUGCAGGACUGGGAGCAGAUCAGAGCUGGCCCUGCUGUGAAGGGAGAGCCUGCAGGUCUCUGCUGGUUGUUGAUGUCCAGUCCCUGAUGUGAGAGCUUUUCACAAGUCCUGUGCAGGGCACUGAGACAGCAGAGCAGGAGAAUCUGCUGGGUGGUGCUGCUGGAAACAUCUCUGAGGCACAAGGACCCCAACAAAACACCUGAGCUUGAGGAUUUUGUGCUGACACAGUUCUCUGCCUUUUACAAAGUGCUAACAGUUAAAAGUGUUUCAUUCUGUGUACAAUAAAAUAAUUAUUUUUAAAA
This is a long non-coding RNA of Oenanthe melanoleuca, 437 nucleotides long. RefSeq lists it as uncharacterized. The record is from RefSeq and is a predicted model, not a curated record. Lineage: Eukaryota; Metazoa; Chordata; Aves; Passeriformes; Muscicapidae. The transcript is spliced from 6 exons.